UACAGAGGUCUCAAGCGUUGUUCGGAUUCAUUGGGCGUAAAGGGUGUGUAGGCGGCGGCGUAAGUCGGGUGUGAAAUCCCAGGGCUCAACCCUGGAACUGCACUCGAUACUGCGUCGCUGGAGGACUGGAGAGGAGACUGGAAUUCACGGUGUAGCAGUGAAAUGCGUAGAUAUCGUAAGGAAGACCAGUGGCGAAGGCGGGUCUCUGGACAGUUCCUGACGCUGAGGCACGAAGGUCAGGGGAGCAAACGGG
RNAcentral lists this ribosomal RNA (253 nucleotides) under uncultured bacterium. RNAcentral's name for it is "partial 16S ribosomal RNA". It matches the Rfam family "Bacterial small subunit ribosomal RNA", at positions 524 to 776 of the family's 1533-position model. The record is from RNAcentral.